UGUUUUCUUUUAUGUAAAGCAGUUUUCCUAUAAGAAAGAGAGAUAGCAGUUUUCCUAUCAAAGUCUAUUGUUUGGACGAAAAAAUGUGUUUUUGAAAAUUUUGUUAAUCAUUUUAGCAGCAUCUAAUAACAUGGAUCGACAUGUCCUAUCGUACGAAUAACCCGUGGUCUAGACAGUAUUUUGGACUCGCUUUAAAACAGAAAUGAAGAAUUAUUUUCCUUUUUAUCCCAAAAAAAUAUUACACAAGUCUGCAAUCUGAACUUAUUUGUAUGUUGUUCAAUUUCAAAACACUAAAGAAAUGCAUGAUCAGUGAUAUAUAAAACCUGCAAAUAAACACAUAACGAUCCAUUUAACUUUUCUUUAACUCUAGCUCUGCAAAGGUAAAAAAGAAUUGGAUUUACAAGCAGAUGAUGUGUUGUGUUUCCUCUUCCUGAAGACACCGAAGCCUUUCUCCCACGAAUGGGAAAUACUUCUAAAGUUUGUUACUUACUCUCCGACAACAGAUUCAUCCCUCGGUGGCAGCUUUGUCGACUUUUAAGACCCUCUCCGUCGAAAUUGCUUCUGUGGCUUGGCUCUGGACUCAUGACUAUAAAUCCCCGAUCUGAUCUUUCAACAAUCAGAUCUGAAGUCUCCUCUCCCUGCCUUCAUUUCAUGUGAGUGGCCAUGGCAAAAAAGAAUUUCGGCCUCGCUCUCUACUCAUCGCUCAGACUCUCAACUGCAACUUCAAUCUAUAAAUGCCGAAACCCAAGAUUUAAGAGAGUUUUGAAUUUUUGAUAUGAAGAUUCAGAAAGUUAUUCAUGGAAAAAACAGAAACGUGAAUGGAUACCUAAGUGAAUAGAUAGCAAGACUUAUGAUCACCUCUCUCUUUUUUUUGAGGUUGACCUAUAAUAACCUAUGAUAUAUAUUUCAGGUGCUUACUAUUCUAAUUGUCUGAAAAUAUUAGUUUCUUUAGACCACCCUUUAGUAAC
Molecule: long non-coding RNA, 968 nt
Filed under: Eutrema salsugineum
Lineage: Eukaryota; Viridiplantae; Streptophyta; Magnoliopsida; Brassicales; Brassicaceae
Description: long non-coding RNA (ESAL_LNC000894)
Source: RNAcentral